UAUUAGGUGAGCGCACAUAACUUAGAGACCAAGUGGCUACAACAUGCUUAGAAAAGCAUCUAGAUAAAGUGUUAUCCAUGCAUCAGUGUUUAUUCAUAUUAUCAAUAACUGUUAGGUGAGGUACACGGCAUUGGUGGGAUCGUAGCACCCAUUAGAAAUCCAAUUAUCGCAUCAAGAUUUUUGAUUCUUCACCUGGAGAGUGUGGG
RNAcentral lists this long non-coding RNA (206 nucleotides) under Elaeis guineensis (African oil palm). RNAcentral's name for it is "long non-coding RNA (EGUI_LNC036433)". The record is from RNAcentral. Lineage: Eukaryota; Viridiplantae; Streptophyta; Magnoliopsida; Arecales; Arecaceae.